CGCCGCGUGAGUGAUGAAGGUUUUCGGAUCGUAAAACUCUGUUGUUAGGGAAGAACAAGUACCGUUCGAAUAGGGCGGUACCUUGACGGUACCUAACCAGAAAGCCACGGCUAACUACGUGCCAGCAGCCGCGGUAAUACGUAGGUGGCAAGCGUUGUCCGGAAUUAUUGGGCGUAAAGCGCGCGCAGGCGGUUUCUUAAGUCUGAUGUGAAAGCCCCCGGCUCAACCGGGGAGGGUCAUUGGAAACUGGGGAACUUGAGUGCAGAAGAGGAGAGUGGAAUUCCACGUGUAGCGGUGAAAUGCGUAGAGAUGUGGAGGAACACCAGUGGCGAAGGCGACUCUCUGGUCUGUAACUGACGCUGAGGCGCGAAAGCGUGGGGAGCGAACAGGAUUAGAUACCCUGGUAGUCCACGCCGUAAACGAUGAGUGCUAAGUGUUAGAGGGUUUCCGCCCUUUAGUGCUGCAGCAAACGCAUUAAGCACUCCGCCUGGGGAGUACGGUCGCAAGACUGAAACUCAAAGGAAUUGACGGGGGCCCGCACAAGCGGUGGAGCAUGUGGUUUAAUUCGAAGCAACGCGAAGAACCUUACCAGGUCUUGACAUCCUCUGACAACCCUAGAGAUAGGGCUUCCCCUUCGGGGGCAGAGUGACAGGUGGUGCAUGGUUGUCGUCAGCUCGUGUCGUGAGAUGUUGGGUUAAGUCCCGCAACGAGCGCAACCCUUGAU
RNAcentral lists this ribosomal RNA (724 nucleotides) under Bacillus sp. (in: firmicutes). Its description in RNAcentral is "bacterial SSU rRNA". It matches the Rfam family "Bacterial small subunit ribosomal RNA", at positions 395 to 1109 of the family's 1533-position model. The record is from RNAcentral. Lineage: Bacteria; Bacillati; Bacillota; Bacilli; Caryophanales; Bacillaceae.